RNAcentral lists this ribosomal RNA (588 nucleotides) under Salmonella enterica. Its description in RNAcentral is "partial 23S ribosomal RNA". It matches the Rfam family "Bacterial large subunit ribosomal RNA", at positions 1 to 617 of the family's 2925-position model. Lineage: Bacteria; Pseudomonadati; Pseudomonadota; Gammaproteobacteria; Enterobacterales; Enterobacteriaceae. The record is from RNAcentral. RNAcentral also lists the same sequence under 1 other name.
GGGUUGUGAGGUUAAGCGACUAAGCGUACACGGUGGAUGCCCUGGCAGUCAGAGGCGAUGAAGGGCGUGCUAAUCUGCGAUAAGCGCCGGUAAGGUGAUAUGAACCGUUAUAACCGGCGAUACCCGAAUGGGGAAACCCAGUGUGAUUCGUCACACUAUCAUUAACUGAAUCCAUAGGUUAAUGAGGCGAACCGGGGGAACUGAAACAUCUAAGUACCCCGAGGAAAAGAAAUCAACCGAGAUUCCCCCAGUAGCGGCGAGCGAACGGGGAGGAGCCCAGAGCCUGAAUCAGCAUGUGUGUUAGUGGAAGCGUCUGGAAAGGCGCGCGAUACAGGGUGACAGCCCCGUACACAAAAGCGCAUGUGCUGUGAGCUCGAUGAGUAGGGCGGGACACGUGGUAUCCUGUCUGAAUAUGGGGGGACCAUCCUCCAAGGCUAAAUACUCCUGACUGACCGAUAGUGAACCAGUACCGUGAGGGAAAGGCGAAAAGAACCCCGGCGAGGGGAGUGAAAAAGAACCUGAAACCGUGUACGUACAAGCAGUGGGAGCACAGGUUUACCUGUGUGACUGCGUACCUUUUGUAUAAUG